Molecule: small RNA, 74 nt
Filed under: Gorilla gorilla gorilla (western lowland gorilla)
Lineage: Eukaryota; Metazoa; Chordata; Mammalia; Primates; Hominidae
Description: Y RNA (ENSGGOG00000035225.2)
Source: RNAcentral
GCAGUAGUGUUUACAAUUAAUGAUCACAACUAGUUACAGUUUGCUUUGUUCUUUCUCUACUCCUGCUGCUUCAC